AAAGACCUGUAGAACUUUCUCCUACAUCAU
This 30-nucleotide transfer RNA is filed under the name Phrynocephalus vlangalii pylzowi. RNAcentral describes it as "partial tRNA-Ala". Lineage: Eukaryota; Metazoa; Chordata; Lepidosauria; Squamata; Agamidae. RNAcentral also lists the same sequence under 1 other name. The record is from RNAcentral.